Molecule: ribosomal RNA, 253 nt
Filed under: uncultured bacterium
Lineage: Bacteria
Description: partial 16S ribosomal RNA
Rfam family: Bacterial small subunit ribosomal RNA
Source: RNAcentral
UACGUAGGGUGCAAGCGUUGUCCGGAAUUAUUGGGCGUAAAGAGCUCGUAGGCGGUCUGUCGCGUCGGAUGUGAAAAUCCAGGGCUCAACCCUGGACCUGCAUUCGAUACGGGCAGACUAGAGUUCGGCAGGGGAGACUGGAAUUCCUGGUGUAGCGGUGAAAUGCGCAGAUAUCAGGAGGAACACCGGUGGCGAAGGCGGCAUCCUGGACCGAGAUUGACGCUGAGGCGCGAAAGCUAGGGUAGCAAACGGG